RNAcentral lists this ribosomal RNA (253 nucleotides) under uncultured bacterium. RNAcentral describes it as "partial 16S ribosomal RNA". It matches the Rfam family "Bacterial small subunit ribosomal RNA", at positions 524 to 776 of the family's 1533-position model. The record is from RNAcentral.
UACGUAGGGUGCGAGCGUUGUCCGGAAUUAUUGGGAGUAAAGAGCUUGUAGGCGGUUUGUCGCGUCUGCCGUGAAAAUCCGGGGCUCAACCCCGGACUUGCGGUGGGUACGGGCAGACUAGAGUGUGGUAGGGGAGACUGGAAUUCCUGGUGUAGCGGUGAAAUGUGCAGAUAUCAGGAGGAACACCGAGGGCGAAGGCAGGUCUCUGGGCCACUACUGACGCUGAGAAGCGAAAGCGUGGGGAGCGAACAGG